CAGUCGCCGCGGUAAUACGUAGGUGGCAAGCGUUGUCCGGAAUUAUUGGGCGUAAAGGGCUCGCAGGCGGUUUCUUAAGUCUGAUGUGAAAUCCCCGGGCUCAACCUGGGAAUGGCAGUGGAUACUGGCAAGCUAGAGUGUGUCAGAGGAUGGUGGAAUUCCCGGUGUAGCGGUGAAAUGCGUAGAGAUCGGGAGGAACAUCUGUGGCGAAGGCGACUAUCUGGGCCAACACUGACACUGAGGCACAAAAUCGUGGGGAGCAAACAGGAUUAGAUACCCCAGUAGUCCCUGUCUCUUAUAC
RNAcentral lists this ribosomal RNA (301 nucleotides) under uncultured bacterium. Its description in RNAcentral is "partial 16S ribosomal RNA". It matches the Rfam family "Bacterial small subunit ribosomal RNA", at positions 509 to 807 of the family's 1533-position model. The record is from RNAcentral.